UAAUGUAUGGGGAUCUGCCCGAUGAGGGGGAUAACUACUGGAAACGGUGGCUAAUACCGCAUAAUGUCUACGGACCAAAGCAGGGGCUCUUCGGACCUUGCACUAUCGGAUGAACCCAUAUGGGAUUAGCUAGUAGGUGGGGUAAAGGCUCACCUAGGCGACGAUCUCUAGCUGGUCUGAGAGGAUGAUCAGCCACACUGGGACUGAGACACGGCCCAG
Molecule: ribosomal RNA, 219 nt
Filed under: uncultured bacterium
Lineage: Bacteria
Description: partial 16S ribosomal RNA
Rfam family: Bacterial small subunit ribosomal RNA
Source: RNAcentral